This 248-nucleotide ribosomal RNA is filed under the name uncultured bacterium. Its description in RNAcentral is "partial 16S ribosomal RNA". It matches the Rfam family "Bacterial small subunit ribosomal RNA", at positions 29 to 303 of the family's 1533-position model. The record is from RNAcentral.
AACGAACGCUGGCGGCAGGCCUAACACAUGCAAGUCGAACGCCGUAGCAAUACGGAGUGGCAGACGGGUGAGUAACACGUGGGAACGUACCCUUCGGUUCGGGAUAACUCAGGGAAACGUUGAGCUAAUACCGGAUACGUCCGAGAGGAGAAAGAUUUAUUGCCGAGGGAUCGGCCCGCGUCUGAUUAGCUUGUUGGUGAGGUAACGGCUCACCAAGGCGACGAUCAGUAGCUGGUCNGAGAGGAUGA